RNAcentral lists this ribosomal RNA (302 nucleotides) under uncultured archaeon. RNAcentral's name for it is "partial 16S ribosomal RNA". It matches the Rfam family "Archaeal small subunit ribosomal RNA", at positions 477 to 747 of the family's 1478-position model. The record is from RNAcentral.
CUGCAGCCCGAGUGGUGAUCGAUUUUAUUGAGCCUAAAGCGUCCGUAGCCGGACUAGUAAACCCUUGGGUAAAUUGGGCAGCUUAACUGUCCAAAUUCCGAGGGGACUGCUAGUCUUGGGACCGGGAGAGGUCAGAGGUACUCCAGGGGUAGGGGCUAAAUCCGAUAUGCUUUCGUGGCAUUCGGUUAGCAUUCCUGUAAUCCUUGGGGGACCACCAGUGGCGAAGGCGUCUGACUAGAACGGAUCCGACGGUAAGGGACGAAACCCUGGGGCGCGAACCGGAUUAGAUACCCGAGUAGUCC